Oryza glaberrima (African rice) is the source of this 205-nucleotide non-coding RNA. The record is from Rfam. Lineage: Eukaryota; Viridiplantae; Streptophyta; Magnoliopsida; Poales; Poaceae.
AAAAAGGCAAACCCUGGGUUUGCGUGUCCAACUUUGACUGUUCGUCUUAUAUGAAAUACUUUUAUAAUUUGUAUUUUCAUUGUUGUUAGAUGAUAAAAUAUGAUUAAUAUUUUAUGCGUGACUUGUCUUUUUAAUUUUUUUUAAAAAAUUUUCAAAUAAGACGAACGGUCAAACGUUGGGCACGGAAAUCAGGGUUUGUCUUUUU